RNAcentral lists this ribosomal RNA (404 nucleotides) under Actinomycetes bacterium. Its description in RNAcentral is "Actinobacteria bacterium partial 16S ribosomal RNA". It matches the Rfam family "Bacterial small subunit ribosomal RNA", at positions 355 to 776 of the family's 1533-position model. The record is from RNAcentral. Lineage: Bacteria; Bacillati; Actinomycetota; Actinomycetes.
UGGGGAAUAUUGGACAAUGGGCGCAAGCCUGAUCCAGCCAUGCCGCGUGAGUGAUGAAGGCCCUAGGGUUGAAAAGCUCUUUCACCGGUGAAGAUAAUGACGGUAACCGGAGAAGAAGCCCCGGCUAACUUCGUGCCAGCAGCCGCGGUAAUACGAAGGGGGCUAGCGUUGUUCGGAUUUACUGGGCGUAAAGCGCACGUAGGCGGACUUUUAAGUCAGGGGUGAAAUCCCGGGGCUCAACCCCGGAACUGCCUUUGAUACUGGAAGUCUUGAGUAUGGUAGAGGUGAGUGGAAUUCCGAGUGUAGAGGUGAAAUUCGUAGAUAUUCGGAGGAACACCAGUGGCGAAGGCGGCUCACUGGACCAUUACUGACGCUGAGGUGCGAAAGCGUGGGGAGCAAACAGG